AUUGAACGCUGGCGGCAGGCUUAACACAUGCAAGUCGAACGAGUGGCGGACGGGUGAGUAAUGUAUGGCGAUCUGCCCGAAUGAGGGGGAUAACUACGGGAAACGCUAGCUAAUAUCGAAUACAAUCGGAUGAACCAAUAUGGGAUUAGCUAGAUGGGGAGGUAAUGGCUCCCCAAGGCGACGAUCCAUAGCUGGUCUGAGAGGAUGAUCGGCCACACUGGGGCUUAGACACGGCCCAUACUCCGACGGUAGGCAGCAGUGGGGAAUAUUGCACACUGGGCGCAAGCCUGAUGCAGCCAUGCCGCGUGUAGGAAGAAGGCCUUGGGGUUGUAAAGGACUUUCGGCGGAGAGGCGUUACCCGCAGAAGAAGCACCGGCUAACUACGUGCCAGCAGCCGCGAUAAUAC
RNAcentral lists this ribosomal RNA (406 nucleotides) under uncultured bacterium. RNAcentral's name for it is "partial 16S ribosomal RNA". It matches the Rfam family "Bacterial small subunit ribosomal RNA", at positions 30 to 526 of the family's 1533-position model. The record is from RNAcentral.